RNAcentral lists this unclassified non-coding RNA (399 nucleotides) under soil metagenome. RNAcentral describes it as "partial contains 5.8S ribosomal RNA, internal transcribed spacer 2, and large subunit ribosomal RNA". The stretch from base 1 to 120 matches the Rfam family "5.8S ribosomal RNA", at positions 35 to 154 of the family's 154-position model. The record is from RNAcentral.
GAUGAAGAACGUAGCGAAAUGCGAUACUUGGUGUGAAUUGCAGAAUCCCGUGAACCAUCGAGUCUUUGAACGCAAGUUGCGCCUGAAGCCUCGGCUAAGGGCACGUCUGCCUGGGCGUCACGCAUCGCGUCUCCCCCAAACCGCCAAGGCGGAGGGGAAGGAAGAUGGCUUCCCGUGCCUCACCCGGCGCGGUUGGCCUAAAUUUGGAGCCCGCGGCACUUAGCUCACGCGGCGAUAGGUGGUGAACAAGGCCUUGGCCGUGCAAACAACCCGCUGCGGAGCUCUAUGUCACGUGCGCUCGUCGGACCCUUUGAAGUUGCCUUCGGUGACUUAAAACCUUUGCGACCCCAGGUCAGGCGGGGCUACCCGCUGAAUUUAAGCAUAUCAAUAAGCGGAGGA